CAGCAGUGAGGAAUAUUGGUCAAUGGGCGAGAGCCUGAACCAGCCAAGUAGCGUGCAGGAUGACGGCCCUAUGGGUUGUAAACUGCUUUUAUGCGGGGAUAAAGUGCGUGACGUGUCAUGCAUUGCAGGUACCGCAUGAAUAAGGACCGGCUAAUUCCGUGCCAGCAGCCGCGGUAAUACGGAAGGUCCGGGCGUUAUCCGGAUUUAUUGGGUUUAAAGGGAGCGUAGGCCGCCAGAUAAGCGUGUUGUGAAAUGUACCGGCUCAACCGGUGAAUUGCAGCGCGAACUGUUUGGCUUGAGUGCACGGUAAGCAGGCGGAAUUCAUGGUGUAGCGGUGAAAUGCUUAGAUAUCAUGAAGAACUCCGAUUGCGAAGGCAGCUUGCUGCAGUGCGACUGACGCUGAUGCUCGAAGGUGCGGGUAUCAAACAGGAUUAGA
This 436-nucleotide ribosomal RNA is filed under the name uncultured Prevotella sp. RNAcentral's name for it is "bacterial SSU rRNA". It matches the Rfam family "Bacterial small subunit ribosomal RNA", at positions 349 to 782 of the family's 1533-position model. Lineage: Bacteria; Pseudomonadati; Bacteroidota; Bacteroidia; Bacteroidales; Prevotellaceae. The record is from RNAcentral.